GACAGGAAUUCUAAUUGCAAAUU
RNAcentral lists this microRNA (23 nucleotides) under Strongyloides ratti. RNAcentral's name for it is "str-miR-7880w-5p". Lineage: Eukaryota; Metazoa; Nematoda; Chromadorea; Rhabditida; Strongyloididae. The record is from miRBase by way of RNAcentral.